GGAGAGAUGGCCGAGUGGACGAAGGCGCUCCCCUGCUAAGGGAGUAUACGGCUUAUACCCGUAUCGAGGGUUCGAAUCCCUCUCUCUCCGCCA
This 93-nucleotide transfer RNA is filed under the name Nevskiales bacterium. RNAcentral's name for it is "tRNA-Ser". It matches the Rfam family "tRNA". Rfam says of the family: Transfer RNA (tRNA) molecules are approximately 80 nucleotides in length. RNAcentral also lists the same sequence under 2 other names. The record is from RNAcentral. Lineage: Bacteria; Pseudomonadati; Pseudomonadota; Gammaproteobacteria; Nevskiales.